Molecule: long non-coding RNA, 1289 nt
Organism: Polyodon spathula (Mississippi paddlefish)
Lineage: Eukaryota; Metazoa; Chordata; Actinopteri; Acipenseriformes; Polyodontidae
Exons: 3
Source: RefSeq, a predicted model, not a curated record
AAAAUGAAGCAAUGUGACCCUUAUUUUCAAUGCAAAGUUUGUAGCAUGUACAGUAUAUCUGUGUGAGCAUCUUCUCUGCAUUCGUACAAGGCUGGCAUCAUGUCAGCACAUUCACAUGAUGUAAAGUUGUUUCUGUUACAUUUGAUCAACACAAUUAGAAGCAUUUCAUACAGAUAUAACGAUUGUCUCAGUCAAUGUGUGGAGGGUUCAAUUAGCUGAGUGCUUCUACAAUCAGUCAGUAGCACAGAGGGUAUAUGAUAUGGUUAAUUAUUCUAUGUGUCUGAGGCCUCAUUUAAUUCAAUGUAUUUUCAGUGUAAUAUCAUUUGAUGAUAUUAAGAUGGGAUAUGGGGUUCAUUCCAAGGGGCAAAUUAUUUCUUUUUAUUUAGAGUGCCCAAUUACUUUACCACCGAUUUUCUCCCCUGUUUAAAAUGUCCAAUUAUUUUCCCUCAACGCAGAAAUUCCCCACAGAGCUCAGGGAACUGAAGGUCAGUGGGCGUCCUCUGAUCCCACGACCAAGCCUCUUUCCAUUUGGGGGCAGAUGUCAGCGAGUUACCGGCCUCUGGAAGACAAAGGCCAGCCUACAGGCGUCCCAUUGAGCACAACAGGUGCCUGGCCAGUAUGGUCAACUGCAGGGUAAUGGGGAGAAACAGUCCUUGCCGGUUUUGCCUCCCUAACCCAUGGGAGCACCAGAGUUAAUGCAACAUUCCCUUUGUAAUCCCCAGCAAAGACCGCUGUGCAUACCACACGGCUGUGCUUUAACCAGUUGUCAAUGAUCACACCUAUAAAGAGAUUCAAGGUGAAGAAAGACCCAAAGAUGAUGAAGACUACGAAAUAAAGAAGAAACUGUUUGAACAACAAGCGCUCAAUUCCUUGUGUUAAAAGACAAAGGGAGGUACACAAAAGGGAGCAGCUGUCUUUUUAAAAGUAAAGUGCAACAACCCAAAACUUGCCAUGCUAAUCCACAUGAGUAUCACCCUGUAUUAGGUAUGGAAUAUCAGGGAUCUACUCCUGGGUGCUUCUGAAAUUCUGAUAAAGUUUUGUGAGUGUCACCCUGUAUUAGGUAUGGAGUAUCAGGGAUCUACUCCUGGGUGCUUCUGAAAUUCUGAUGAAGUUUUGUGAGUAUCACUCCGUAUUAGGUAUGGAGUAUCAGGGAUCUACUCCUGGGUGCUUCUGAAAUUCUGGUGAAGUUUUGUGAGUAACACCCCGUAUUAGGUAUGGAGUAUCAGGGAUCUACUUCUGGGUGCUUCUGGAAUUCUGAUGAAGUUUUGUGCAUCACUUUCUUUCAGGAA